GAAAUGCGAUACUUGGUGUGAAUUGCAGAAUCCCGUGAACCAUCGAGUCUUUGAACGCAAGUUGCGCCCGAAGCCAUUAGGCUGAGGGCACGUCUGCCUGGGCGUCACGC
Molecule: ribosomal RNA, 110 nt
Filed under: Eleutherococcus sessiliflorus
Lineage: Eukaryota; Viridiplantae; Streptophyta; Magnoliopsida; Apiales; Araliaceae
Description: partial 5.8S ribosomal RNA
Rfam family: 5.8S ribosomal RNA
About the family: 5.8S ribosomal RNA (5.8S rRNA) is a component of the large subunit of the eukaryotic ribosome.
Source: RNAcentral